Molecule: ribosomal RNA, 468 nt
Filed under: uncultured bacterium
Lineage: Bacteria
Description: partial 16S ribosomal RNA
Rfam family: Bacterial small subunit ribosomal RNA
Source: RNAcentral
GACGAACGCUGGCGGCGUGCUUAACACAUGCAAGUCGAACGGAAAGGCCCUGCUUUUGUGGGGUGCUCGAGUGGCGAACGGGUGAGUAACACGUGAGUAACCUGCCCUUGACUUUGGGAUAACUUCAGGAAACUGGGGCUAAUACCCGAUAGGAGCUCCUGCUGCAUGGUGGGGGUUGGAAAGUUUCGGCGGUUGGGGAUGGACUCGCGGCUUAUCAGCUUGUUGGUGGGGUAGUGGCUUACCAAGGCUUUGACGGGUAGCCGGCCUGAGAGGGUGACCGGCCACCUUGGGACUGAGAUACGGCCCAGACUCCUACGGGAGGCAGCAGUCGGGAAUAUUGCACAAUGGGCGCAAGCCUGAUGCAGCAACGCCGCGUGCGGGAUGACGGCCUUCGGGUUGUAAACCGCUUUCGCCUGUGACGAAGCGUGAGUGACGGUAAUGGGUAAAGAAGCACCGGCUAACUACGUG